Long non-coding RNA from Canis lupus familiaris (dog), 1664 nucleotides. RefSeq lists it as uncharacterized. The transcript is spliced from 9 exons. Lineage: Eukaryota; Metazoa; Chordata; Mammalia; Carnivora; Canidae. The record is from RefSeq and is a predicted model, not a curated record.
CUCUUCAAAGCCAGUGAGAGUCCCUGGCUUCUGAUGGGCCUCUGACAUUUGUUCUGACAUCUGUGAGGACACACUGAGAAGGCAGCCAGCCAUCUGCAAGCCAGGAGAAGUGUUCUCAACAGAAACCAAAUUGUCCAGAACUUUGAUCUUGGACUUUCAGCUUCCAAAACUAAGGAGAAAAUUGAUGCAUAAAGAAUUGGAGUAUUUACUAUCUCAAUAAAUACUUAUCUGGAAUUAAGAUGAAGCAGCACUGAGAUUUCUCUGGACUAAAACAAUUAAAUUGGAUCUAUAAAGCUUGCCAUAAGACCAAGAUAUACUCCUAGGCAUUUCAUCCUCAUAUCCCAACAAGGAUUGGUGGCAUAUGGAUGAUAUCCAUUGAUAGGAUACUAUCCUACUUCAUGUAUUAACAACUGGACUUCCACCUGUGUCAAGGACAAUUUGUGCCCUCCUGCCCUGCCACCUUCAUCCCUAACAGGAUAGUAAAUAACCCGCAACACUAUUGCCCACACUCUUGGCUGAGUCUUGAUAUGUACUGCCUGGAUUUGGAUUUCUCUGAAGUGGAUUCUAAGGUUACAGAAGGAAGAGCCUAAAGGAAAAUGUAGGUCAAGUGCUUUUAUCCCUUGCAACUUUCAGAAGAACAAUCACAAAAUUACAGUGACUGGUCCUGAUUUCUAAUGAUGGAAAGAGAAAGCUGGCUCAACGACACAUAUCUGGACACAUCUCUUAGGGAGUUGGAAUUCAAUAGAGAGGGUGGACAAUACAGAAUCAAUGAAGUAAUCUUGGAUCGAUUCCCAAAUGAACUACCUGCAUAAAAGCCUCAGUCUCAGGAUCUGCUUUUGUGAAGGAUAUAAGGAUCUAGAAGAGACACGAGGAAAUAACCAUGGCUCAGAGUGUGAUUAAAUACAAGGAGAGCUUCAGGAAGAUCCCUGCAACCAGCCACAAUGUUCAGUACUUUUUGGAUAUUUGUUGGAUUUCAUUUAGAAUGUUAUUCGAUUUGCUACUCUUUAUUGUCUAGUGGCAAAAGCAAAAUAAUUCCAGCUCUUCAAAAUGGAGGUUUUAAUCCAAGUUGCAAGGUAGAUGAAAUUAUUGAAGUGAUUUUGAAACUACUAUUACAUUACCUCUCCUGAAAUAGAAUUUGAACUAAAUGUAAGAUCACCAGAACACCUGAUACAAAAGGUUUAUGUAUUAUCCAUCUGUGUCAUGUGGGGUUUGAACUUUUCAAGAAUUCAUGAAACUCCAUACUGACAAAGGUAGUUUACUCUUCUUUUCAAGUUCAUGUCAUGAAACCUGUGAGCGAUUGUGGACAUGGUGCUCCUCUGAGGAAAAGUGACUCUACAACUAACUCUAUUUAACCACACACCCUGGCCUCCAGUAUUGAUAUCUGGAAAAGUACUCUGGCUGAUUAUGUUUAUAGAUUGCCUAUAUAACAUCUUGUACACUAUUUCAAGGAAGAUUAAAGCUAUAUCUCUUAGAAUGUGAUGGGACACUUAUAUUUACCUAUAUAAGACUUCCCGGUGUAUAACACAACUGCCUGGAAGCAUGACGACACCAACCUUGAGGCUCACGACAGGGGUGUGCCAAGAAAACAAAAAAAUAUUCUGCAGUGCAUACAGACAUCAAGGACACUGGAAAAACCAAAUGUGUUUUCUGUAUUAAGUUUAGGA